Molecule: ribosomal RNA, 293 nt
Filed under: uncultured bacterium
Lineage: Bacteria
Description: partial 16S ribosomal RNA
Rfam family: Archaeal small subunit ribosomal RNA
Source: RNAcentral
GUGCCAGCCGCCGCGGUAAUACCGGCAGCCCGAGUGAUGACCGAUCUUAUUGGGCCUAAAGCGUCCGUAGCCGGCCUCGCAAGUCCGUCGGGAAAUCCAGUAGCUCAACUACUGGGCGUCCGGCGGAAACUACAAGGCUUGGGACCGGAAGGCUCGAGGGGUACGUCCGGGGUAGGAGUGAAAUCCCGUAAUCCCGCACGGACCACCGAUGGCGAAAGCACUUCGAGAAAACGGAUCCGACAGUGAGGGACGAAAGCUAAGAUCGCGAACCGGAUUAGAUACCCCUGUAGUCC